Molecule: long non-coding RNA, 1327 nt
Organism: Tachysurus fulvidraco (yellow catfish)
Lineage: Eukaryota; Metazoa; Chordata; Actinopteri; Siluriformes; Bagridae
Exons: 3
Source: RefSeq, a predicted model, not a curated record
UAGAGAUAUCUGGGAGUUUUAUGUGGUUUAAAUCCAGUGCUUUUCAUAAUAAAGAUUCAAAAUAGAUGUAUGAAAGUGUCGAUUAUAGAUAUUUCUUGGAAAAAAAAUUAAUAAACAUGUGUUUUUAUCAGUUUUGCACUUACGGUCCAAGUUCGUUAAGCGAAGAAGCCCAACCUGGCAUGAAUCCUGGCUCUCUGCUGAACCACAGCACGACCAACACCACAAAAAUAGCAAGCACGGCACCUUCACCAAAUUUUAUUCUGCCCAGUUUCUUAAAUUCCUGCUGAUCAUAGGCCUCAUCAUCACCUGCGCUUUCAAACCCACAGCCAAAUGUCUUCUUAAAAGUAGAAAAAAAAAAGCGCACAGCUUGCGGGAGCCAGGUUAUGGUCCCGAUUGGUACGACGUUGCUGUUGGGUACAGGCUGUCCUUCACUCCAGGUUGUGUGUGUGCUCUGGAUCACCCGCAUAUUUGCAGUUCAUUGAUUACGGAUAAAGCUGUGAGUAACUGAACCCGUGUGCUUAGCGGGUUAAAGCCGGGAGCUGAAGGCCCCAGUGAGGGAAGCUAGCUGUCUUGGCCCUGUGGUGGUGGUGUUUCUCACAGUGUGUUUUUGCCAUUGAUAUCUGCGUUUCCUCACUUAGAGUGGGUAUGGUGUGAGUGUUUGUGAGUAGUGUGUCUUAGGAUACUCACUUUUCAGUUAGCUGCCCUACCGGUAAGCCUCAGCCAGAAAGUUUCUUGUUUUUCUUUAUUUCUUGUCUCUGUUUGAUCAACAGUUUUUAUUAUUUUAACUAGUUAUAGUGCAAUAAAAGUAUUUCGUAUUUAUAUCCACGUCUAGUGCAUUCAGUGGUUACGAACCUGUGUGCUAUAUUUUGGGUAUAAAUUUCCCCGUUUAUAGAAACGGGGUGGCGUAGUCUGCUCUAAUUCUUAGUUGUAUAUUGUGUUAAUUCUUGCCCUCCACCUCCCCGCCACACAAACAAUAGGUUAACAUAUGCACUAAGAACCCUAGAUGAGGACACAUAAAAUUGCACCCCCCACUUGUCCUCAUACUCCUCCCCACUCCCAAAAACAAUAAAUAAUUUGGAAUAUAUAUCUUUAUAUUCCAAAGAGAAAAUGUUAUAUAAGGACAACUGCACAGAGAAUUAGUCCACAGUUCCACAGCAUGUCUGGUUACCUCUGCUGUCAUUUAUUUAAAGCAGUAAUCUUUCUUUUUAAUCUUUUUUAAGUCACCAAUCUUUUUUUUACAAUUUAAUCAUAUAGUAGAUAUAAUUUGCAGAUUUGACAAUUAUGAAAAACAUUUUCAAUGAAUUUAUAACAAAACAAUGAAAUACUA